UUAAGUGACUAAGCGUACAAGGUGGAUGCCUUGGCAAUCAGAGGCGAAGAAGGACGUGCUAAUCUGCGAAAAGCUUGGAUGAGUCGAUAAGAGGCGUUUAAUCCAAGAUGUCCGAAUGGGGAAACCCAGUAGAUGAAGAAUCUACUAUCACUUACUGAAUCCAUAGGUAAGUGAGGCAAACCGGGAGAACUGAAACAUCUAAGUACCCCGAGGAAAAGAAAUCAACCGAGAUUUCGUUAGUAGCGGCGAGCGAACGCGAAGGAGCCUGUUAGUGAUAAUGACAGAGACAGAGGAACAAGCUGGGAAGCUUGGCGAUACAGGGUGAUAGCCCCGUACUCGAAGUCCAGGUCAUGGUACUAAGCUAACGACAAGUAGGGCGGGACACGUGAUAUCCUGUUUGAAGAUGGGGGGACCAUCCUCCAAGGCUAAAUACUCCUGAUUGACCGAUAGUGAACCAGUACUGUGAAGGAAAGGCGAAAAGAACCCCGGUGAGGGGAGUGAAAUAGAACCUGAAACCUUGUACGUACAAGCAGUGGGAGCCCUUUAAGGGUGACUGCGUACCUUUUGUAUAAUGGGUCAGCGACUUAUAUUUUGUAGCGAGGUUAACCGAAUAGGGGAGCCGAAGGGAAACCGAGUCUUAACUGGGCGUCUAGUUGCAAGGUAUAGACCCGAAACCCGGUGAUCUAGCCAUGGGCAGGUUGAAGGUUGGGUAACACUAACUGGAGGACCGAACCGACUAAUGUUGAAAAAUUAGCGGAUGACUUGUGGCUGGGGGUGAAAGGCCAAUCAAACCGGGAGAUAGCUGGUUCUCCCCGAAAUCUAUUUAGGUAGAGCCUUGAGCGGACACCUUCGGGGGUAGAGCACUGUUUCGGCUAGGGGUCCAUCCCGGAUUACCAACCCGAUGCAAACUACGAAUACCGAAGAGUGAUACUCAGGAGACACACGGCGGGUGCUAACGUCCGUCGUGGAGAGGGAAACAACCCAGACCGCCAGCUAAGGUCCCAAAGUCUAUAUUAAGUGGGAAACGAAGUGGGAAGGCUUAGACAGCUAGGAUGUUGGCUUAGAAGCAGCCAUCAUUUAAAGAAAGCGUAAUAGCUCACUAGUCGAGUCGGCCUGCGCGGAAGAUGUAACGGGGCUCAAAUAUAGCACCGAAGCUGCGGCAUCAGACGAAAGUCUGUUGGGUAGGGGAGCGUUCUGUAAGCGGAUGAAGGUGGCUCGAGAGGGCUGCUGGACGUAUCAGAAGUGCGAAUGCUGACAUAAGUAACGAUAAAACGGGUGAAAAACCCGUUCGCCGGAAGACCAAGGGUUCCUGUCCAACGUUAAUCGGGGCAGGGUGAGUCGGCCCCUAAGGCGAGGCUGAAAAGCGUAGUCGAUGGGAAACGGGUUAAUAUUCCCGUACUUGGAUAAACUGCGAUGUGGGGACGGAGCAGGUUAGGUUAUCGCACUGUUGGAUAUGUGCGUUUAAGUUGGUAGGUGUGAAGUUUAGGCAAAUCCGGACUUCUUUAACACCGAGAGAUGAUGACGAGGCUCUACGGAGCUGAAGUAACCGAUACCACACUUCCAGGAAAAGCCACUAAGCUUCAGGUUUAUCUAAACCGUACUGAAAACCGACACAGGUGGUCAGGUAGAGAAUACUCAGGCGCUUGAGAGAACUCGGGUGAAGGAACUAGGCAAAAUAGCACCGUAACUUCGGGAGAAGGUGCGCCGGCGUAGAUUGUAGUCCCUAGCGGGCGAAGGUUGAACCGGUCGAAGAUACCAGCUGGCUGCAACUGUUUAUUAAAAACACAGCACUCUGCAAACACGAAAGUGGACGUAUAGGGUGUGAUGCCUGCCCGGUGCUGGAAGGUUAAUUGAUGGUGUAAUCGAAAGAGAAGCUCCUGAUCGAAGCCCCAGUAAACGGCGGCCGUAACUAUAACGGUCCUAAGGUAGCGAAAUUCCUUGUCGGGU
RNAcentral lists this ribosomal RNA (1947 nucleotides) under human metagenome. RNAcentral describes it as "bacterial LSU rRNA". It matches the Rfam family "Bacterial large subunit ribosomal RNA", at positions 1 to 1977 of the family's 2925-position model. The record is from RNAcentral.